Salvia splendens (bonfire salvia) is the source of this 203-nucleotide long non-coding RNA. RefSeq lists it as uncharacterized. The record is from RefSeq and is a predicted model, not a curated record. The transcript has 3 exons. NCBI's taxonomy places the organism in Eukaryota, Viridiplantae, Streptophyta, Magnoliopsida, Lamiales, Lamiaceae.
AAGACGAAACACACAAUCAAUGGAUUCGGGAAGCCAGCACGGGAUAGGUCUGUCACCGUUAUCCGGUGGACCGAAUGUAGGUACCCCCAGCCAAGUUAAACGUCCUUGGAGUGGGAGCUCCAACAUGAGGUCCGAUAACGAUGUGGGAACUGAUACGCCAAGGAACAAGUUUCGCAAGGGGGAAAGAUCAAGACGAAUGUGGA